This 291-nucleotide ribosomal RNA is filed under the name Stygamoeba regulata. RNAcentral's name for it is "partial Eukaryotic large subunit ribosomal RNA". It matches the Rfam family "Eukaryotic large subunit ribosomal RNA", at positions 53 to 366 of the family's 3401-position model. Lineage: Eukaryota; Discosea; Stygamoebida. The record is from RNAcentral.
GAGGAAAAGAAACUAACCAGGAUUGUCUCAGUAAGGGCGACUGAAGCGACAAUAGCUCACCAUGUGAAUCUGCGUCAAGCCGAAUUGUGGUCUCACUUGCGCUAUUGGGCCGGGCCAAGUCCGUUGGAACACGGCAGCCGAGAGGGUGACACUCCCGUCCGCCCGGCCCUCUGAGCUUGUGUAUUCGAGUCGAGUUGUUUGGGAUUGCAGCUCUAAGCGGGUGGUAAAUUCCAUCGAAAGCUAAAUACUGGUGGGAGACCGAUAGCGUACAAGUACCGUGAGGGAAAGAUG